GUCUACGGCCAUACCACUGAGAAAGCACCGGUUCUCGUCCGAUCACCGAAGUUAAGCUCAGUAGGGCGCGGUUAGUACUUGGAUGGGUGACCGCUUCGGAAUACCGUGUGCUGUAGGGU
Molecule: ribosomal RNA, 119 nt
Filed under: Nematostella vectensis (starlet sea anemone)
Lineage: Eukaryota; Metazoa; Cnidaria; Anthozoa; Actiniaria; Edwardsiidae
Source: RNAcentral